GAUGAAGAACGUAGCGAAAUGCGAUAAGUAAUGUGAAUUGCAGAGUUCAGUGAAUCAUCGAAUCUUUGAACGCACAUUGCGCCCGCCAGUAUUCUGGCGAGCAUGCCUGUUCGAGCGUCAUUUCAACCAUCAAGCCCCAGGCUUGUGUUGGAGCCCUGCGGCUGCCGCAGCCUCCCAAAACCAGUGGCGGGCUCGCUAUCACACCGAGUGCAGUAGUUUACUCUUCGCUCAGGGCGUGUGGCGGGUGCUAGCCGUGAAACCCCCAACUUCUCAAGGUUGACCUCGGAUCAGGUAGGAAUACCCGCUGAACUUAAGCAUAUCAAUAAGCGGAGGA
Molecule: unclassified non-coding RNA, 334 nt
Filed under: soil metagenome
Description: partial contains 5.8S ribosomal RNA, internal transcribed spacer 2, and large subunit ribosomal RNA
Rfam family: 5.8S ribosomal RNA (bases 1-120)
Source: RNAcentral